GAUGAACGCUGGCGGCGUGCUUAACACAUGCAAGUCGAACGGGAUCCCAGGAGCUUGCUCCUGGGUGAGAGUGGCGAACGGGUGAGUAAUGCGUGACCGACCUGCCCCAUACACCGGAAUAGCUCCUGGAAACGGGUGGUAAUGCCGGAUGCUCCAGUUGGAUGCAUGUCCUUCUGGGAAAGAUUCAUCGGUAUGGGAUGGGGUCGCGUCCUAUCAGCUUGAUGGCGGGGUAACGGCCCACCAUGGCUUCGACGGGUAGCCGGCCUGAGAGGGCGACCGGCCACAUUGGGACUGAGAUACGGCCCAGACUCCUACGGGAGGCAGCAGUGGGGAAUAUUGCACAAUGGGCGCAAGCCUGAUGCAGCGACGCCGCGUGCGGGAUGACGGCCUUCGGGUUGUAAACCGCUUUUGACUGGGAGCAAGCCCUUCGGGGUGAGUGUACCUUUCGAAUAAGCACCGG
This 460-nucleotide ribosomal RNA is filed under the name uncultured bacterium. Its description in RNAcentral is "bacterial SSU rRNA". It matches the Rfam family "Bacterial small subunit ribosomal RNA", at positions 28 to 496 of the family's 1533-position model. The record is from RNAcentral.